AAAUCUGUGGAGGGAAUCAGGGGGCUGCAGCAGGAAGCCAUAGACCCUGCUUCCCAUGCCCAGCAACCACGCCCAGGAGCAGCAGCCGUGGAGGCUCCUCCCCCCUCUCUGCAGGGGCCAAGUGGGAGCUCAGGAGCGGGCGUGGCAGGAGGGGCACAGAGCUAGGCUCUUACUGACACUGAUUUGACUAAUGAUUAAGCCUGCAAGGUGCGGAGAAAGAUGGAGCACAGUGGGUGAAGAUAAACCAAGAGAAGAAGGCUGAGGAACUGAAAGGGGCCAGGCCUGGAGAUCCGUGCCAGUUAGCACUGGGGCCAGAGUGGCCCAUGCAGCAGACCUUCUGGCAGCUGCCUGCACUCAAGGGUGUGUUGCUGAAGAGAAACAGGUGCUCUCAGGGCUGCUGAGCUGGGGCGUAAAAGAAUAACAUAACUUUUCAAAAAAAUCACACCUGGUGAAAACAACCGAAAUGUCCAUCAGUGGAUGGGUGGAUAAAGAAAACACGGUGUAUCCGAGCAAUGGAAUAUUUUUUGGAUACAAAAAGGAAUGGAGUACUGAUGCAUGCUACUGUUGUGAAUGAACCUUGGAAACAUACUAAGUGAAAGAAGCUGGACACAAAAGGCUACAUACUGUAUGGUUCCACUUACACAAGCUAUUUAGAAUAGGUAAGUCUGUAACAACAGGAAGCAAAUUAGCACUUGUUGGUGCUGGGAGGAGGGGAGAAUAAGGGUUGAAGCUUAUGGCUAUGCGGGUUGCUAUGGGUAUGGAUGAAAUUAUGGAACUAGACAGAGGUGGUUGUACAACACUGUGAGUGUACUAAAUACCACUGAAUCGUACAUACUUUUUUUUUUAACUGAAGUAUAGUCGAUUUACAAUGUUAUAUUGAUUUCUGGUGUACAGCAUAGUGAUUCAUAUAUAUAUAUAUUCCUUUUCAUUUUUUUUCAAUAUAGACUAUUACAAGGUAUUGAAUGUAGUUCCCUGUGCUAUACAGUAGGACCUUGCUGUUUGUCUAUUUUAUAUAUAGUAGUAGUUAGUAUGUGUAAAUCUCAAACUCCCAGUUUAUCCCUCCACCCACCCCUCUCUGGUAACCAUAAGUUUGUUUUCUAUGUGUGUGAGUCUGUUUCUGUUUUGCAAACAUGGUCACUUGUCUCACUUUUUAAGAUUCCACAUAUAAAUGGUAUCAUAUAGUAUUCUCCUUUCUCUUUCUGGCUUACUUCACUUAGAAUGACAAUCUCCAGAAGUAUCCAUGUUGCUGCAAAUGGCAUUAUUUUAUUUUUUAUGGCCAAGUAGUAUUCCACUGUAUAAAUACACCACAACUUCUUUAUCUAAUCAUCUGUUGAUGGACAUUUAAGUUGCUUCCAUGUCUUGGCUAUUGUAAAUAGUGCUGCUGUGAACAUUGGGGGUGCAUGUAUCUUUUUGAAUUAGAGUCUCCUCCAGAUAUAUGCCCAGGAGUGGGAUUGCUGGAUCAUAUGGUAAGUCUAUUUUUAGUUUUUCAAAGGAAUUUGCAGACUGUUUUCCAUAACGGCUGCACCAAACUACAUCCCCACCAACAGAGUAGGAAGGUUCCCUUUUCUCCACACCCUCUCCAGCAUUUGUUGUUUAUGGACUUUUUUUUUUUUAAAUAUAUUUUUAUUUAAGUAUAGUCAGUUUACAAUGUUGUGUCAAAGUUCAUGGACUUUUUAAUGAUAGCCAUUCUGACUGGUGUGAGGUGAUACUUCAUUGAAGUUUUGAUUUGCAUUUCUGUAAUAGUUAGCAAUAUUGAGCAUUUUUUCAUGUGCCUAAUUGUACAGUUUGACAUGGUUAAUUUUAGGUUAUGUAAAUUUCACCUUAACUAAAACUACAACCAAAAGUCACAACCAAAAGUCACACCCACCAAAGCAAUUGUUAUCUUGCUAAACAUCAUCUUAAAACUCCACACUUAUUCCAGAAGUAGCCUCUCUGAGCAGCAUGUAUUUGAAAAACGUCGUGAAGCUACCUUCUCAGAAAACCUGAGGCUACUGAGGAAAUCAGUCUGAUUACUUAACAGUCAUGUCUCAAUUUUGACUACUAACAACACUUUCUGAUUUUAUUGCCAGAAGUAUUUCCCACAGUUGAUUGGCCUCUGGACAUUUUUAAAAAUCAUAUCCUUUCUCGUUAAGGAUAUUCUAAAGAACAAGGAGUUCAGAGUUUGUAUUGCUUUGAGAAAGUGCACACUUGAGUGUAAUCACAGAGGGAUGUCUGUCCAAAACUAGUCACUGUUUCAUGGUCUGACCAUCUGGCUUUGUCAUGAAGCCGGGAGCUCCUGAGAUAUACGCUACUGCCUCCCAAGGUGAGAUGCUCUUCCAGGGUCAGUGUGGACUAGGGACCCCAAGCAAAGCUUGAUGGGGACAAGGCCUGGUCCCCAUGCCCUCACGUCCCAGGGCCUGUCCCUUCAUCUUUACCCACGUGCCUCUCCGGAGUCACCAGACCACACUGGCCUAAUCCCCAUUGCUUCAGAGGCAAAUGAAAAGACCACUUACACAGCCUGCACAGUCUGUCCUCCUGCCUCGGAGGAUGAAGGACCCUCCCCUCAUGCCUGCUGUCAUCUCUAUGUUUAAUAAACUAUGAUCUUGAUGAUCCUUCUUGGUCAAUGA
This is a long non-coding RNA of Camelus dromedarius (Arabian camel), 2606 nucleotides long. RefSeq lists it as uncharacterized. The transcript is spliced from 3 exons. Lineage: Eukaryota; Metazoa; Chordata; Mammalia; Artiodactyla; Camelidae. The record is from RefSeq and is a predicted model, not a curated record.